RNAcentral lists this ribosomal RNA (317 nucleotides) under Dendropsophus bifurcus (Upper Amazon treefrog). RNAcentral describes it as "partial 12S small subunit ribosomal RNA". Lineage: Eukaryota; Metazoa; Chordata; Amphibia; Anura; Hylidae. The record is from RNAcentral.
AGGGCCUAAGUUAAAUAAAGCACGCUACUUUUCUUUUACUUCUAAAUCCGCCUUCCGACUAGGUUUCAUAUAUAGUCUUUCGUGUGGUCUAAAGUAGACAGUGUAGCCCAUCUCUUUCCGCUUCAUAUGCUGCACCUUGACCUGACGUGUUGGCGUAGGGGCAUUAAGCUCACUAAUUGGCGCUCACGUGGUAAGCUGACGACGGAGGUAUACAGGCUGAAAACAAGAAGGGGUGAGGUAAAACGGGGGUUAUCGAUUAUAGGACAGGCUCCUCUAGGUGGAUUUGGGGUACCGUCAAGUCCCUUGGGUUUUAAGCU